RNAcentral lists this ribosomal RNA (459 nucleotides) under uncultured bacterium. Its description in RNAcentral is "partial 16S ribosomal RNA". It matches the Rfam family "Bacterial small subunit ribosomal RNA", at positions 338 to 795 of the family's 1533-position model. The record is from RNAcentral.
CCUACGGGUGGCAGCAGUGAGGAAUAUUGGUCAAUGGGCGCGAGCCUGAACCAGCCACGUAGCGUGAAGGAUGACUGCCCUACGGGUUGUAAACUUCUUUUCUAAAGGACUAAAGUGAGGCACGCGUGCCUUUUUGCAUGUACUUUAUGCUAAGGAUCGGCUAAAGUCGUGCGAGCAGCCGCGGUAAUAAGCAGGAUCCGAGCGUUAUCCGGGUUUAUUGGGUUGAAAGGGAGCGUAGAGGGGUUGUUAACUCAGUUGGGAAAGUUUGCGGCUCAACCGUGAAAUUGCAAUUGAUACUGGGAGUCUUGAGUAAAGUUGAGGUAGGCGGAAUUCGUGGUGUAGCGGUGAAAUGCUUAGAUAUCACGAAGAACUCCGAUUGCGAAGGCAGCUUACUAAACUGCCACUGACAUUGAGGCUCGAAAGUGUGGGUAUCAAACAGGAUUAGAUACCCUUGUAGUC